GUUAGGGGAUCAAGAAUGGGCCUACGGUCCACCAAGGGGUACCGGGCGAGUUAACCCACGACGCCAGACGACUAUGAAGUAAGCGAUGGUCGCUGCUCUGAUAAGCCAACGACACUAUUUCAAGCAUUUCAGCGCUUGAACUGUAUGUGAAGCUACUAAAGAGGCCUGGGACCUUGGAGACAUCACAGUCUUACUAACUCACGCGCGUGCAAGUGCAAUUCACUUUUCAUUUAUCCAGUCAGCCCAACCGUCGUGGGGCGCCACGGUAAGGGCCCACAAUGCCCCUCAUCAUGGCCCGUAAGGUUGUCCAUCUUAAUGCCCUUCCCGAAUCCAACCUUAAUGCCCCCACUUAGGUCACAGGCUCGCGUGAAUAAGCCCG
RNAcentral lists this long non-coding RNA (379 nucleotides) under Rosa chinensis. RNAcentral describes it as "sRNA RchiOBHm_Chr2g0135781". Lineage: Eukaryota; Viridiplantae; Streptophyta; Magnoliopsida; Rosales; Rosaceae. The record is from RNAcentral.